This 301-nucleotide ribosomal RNA is filed under the name uncultured bacterium. Its description in RNAcentral is "partial 16S ribosomal RNA". It matches the Rfam family "Bacterial small subunit ribosomal RNA", at positions 509 to 807 of the family's 1533-position model. The record is from RNAcentral.
CAGUCGCCGCGGGAACACAGAGGGUGCGAGCGUUAAUCGGAUUUACUGGGCGUAAAGCGUGCGUAGGCGGCUUCUUAAGUCGGAUGUGAAAUCCCUGAGCUUAACUUAGGAAUUGCAUUCGAUACUGGGAAGCUAGAGUAUGGGAGAGGAUGGUAGAAUUCCAGGUGUAGCGGUGAAAUGCGUAGAGAUCUGGAGGGAUACCGAUGGCGAAGGCAGCCAUCUGGCCUAAUACUGACGCUGAGGUACGAAAGCAUGGGGAGCAAACAGGAUUAGAUACCCCUGUAGUCCCUGUCUCUUAUAC